GACGAACGCUGGCGGCGUGCUUAACACAUGCAAGUCGAACGGAAAGGCCCUGCUUUUGUGGGGUGCUCGAGUGGCGAACGGGUGAGUAACACGUGAGUAACCUGCCCUUGACUUUGGGAUAACUUCAGGAAACUGGGGCUAAUACCGGAUAUGAGCUCCUGCUGCAUGGUGGGGGUUGGAAAGUUUCGGCGGUUGGGGAUGGACUCGCGGCUUAUCAGCUUGUUGGUGGGGUAGUGGCUUACCAAGGCUUUGACGGGUAGCCGGCAUGAGAGGGUGACCGGCCACAUUGGGACUGAGAGACGGCCCAGACUCCUACGGGAGGCAGCAGUGGGGAAUAUUGCACAAUGGGCGGAAGCCUGAUGCAGCAACGCCGCGUGCGGGAUGACGGCCUUCGGGUUGUAAACCGCUGUCGCCUGUGACGAAGCGUGAGUGACGGUAAUGGGUAAAGAAGCACCGGCUAACUACGUG
RNAcentral lists this ribosomal RNA (468 nucleotides) under uncultured bacterium. Its description in RNAcentral is "partial 16S ribosomal RNA". It matches the Rfam family "Bacterial small subunit ribosomal RNA", at positions 28 to 507 of the family's 1533-position model. The record is from RNAcentral.